RNAcentral lists this long non-coding RNA (2648 nucleotides) under Homo sapiens (human). RNAcentral's name for it is "PREDICTED lncRNA (TCONS_00239447)". Lineage: Eukaryota; Metazoa; Chordata; Mammalia; Primates; Hominidae. The record is from RNAcentral.
UAUAAUUAGUGUAUAAUGAGCAGUGAGACGACUGGAGGUCACUUUCAUCGCCAUCUUGGUUUUGGUGGGUUUUGGACAGCUUCUUUACGCAUGCUGUUUUAUCAGCAAGGUCUUUGUGACCUGUAUCUUGUGCCGACCUCCUAUCUCAUCCUGUGACUAGGAAUGCCUUAACCUCCUGGAAUGCAGCUCACAUGCCAGAAACUAUACAAUCCACCCCCUCUGAAGGAGUUUGUUCAUUUAAAAAAAAAAAAAGGGAAAUUUGGGUGCAGACAGGCACACAGGGAGAACACCAUGUCAACACGAAGGCAGAAGUUGGAGUGAUGAGUCUACAAGCCAAGGAUUGCCAGCAAUUCAUCAGAGGCCAGGACAGCAGCCUGGGGCAGCCCCCUACAUGGUACCAACUCCAUCAACACCUUGAUCUCAGACUUCCAACCUCCAGAACUGUAUCACAGUCUGGAAGUCUGCUCACAGUCUCAAGGUUGGCAUAUCCCCUAGAGCCCCCAGACUCCUCAUCCCAUGGAGACCAACAUGGCCAGGGGAGGGCCAGAGCAGGGCCUUCUAAAUCACAGACCCCAGGGCAGGAGCCCCUCCGGUCUGGAUCUAAGGAUGGUAUUUUCAACAAUUCCUAAAUUUUUAUCCUAGGCUCUCCAAAUGGGAGUCUAAAGGUCUCAAAACAUGGUCCAGAAGAAGUAUGCAAAAAUGUAAAUUCCUAGGCCCCAACCCAGACCUAUGAAUCAGAUGAUCUGUAUGGGGGUUCAAGGAAUCUAUAUUAUUAAACAAUCUUCCUAAAUGACUUGUAUUCAUACUAAAGCUUGAGAAUUGCUAUCAAACAGCUAGAAGUUGGAGUGAAGGGUCCUGCCUUUCCCAUGAAAUUCAUCAACUCUAUGCCCUCAAAAGCUGGGCUCUUGGAUGAGCUGCUCUCCAUUCUAGAGACAUUACCAGCUAGGUAGCCUGCUGGUCCUCAGGAAGUUAAGCCCAGACUCUUCAGCACAGAAUCAGAUAAACACUGAUUACAUUGUACUCUACAGUUCUGAGAACACCAUUACUUAAUUCCCGGCAAGUUGCAAUGUAAUUGAGUAGGUUGUAGUUUUUUGGGUUUGGGGUUUUUUUGUUUUUUAAAUAUAUCAGGCGUAGUUAGCCAGCUUCCUAGAAACACCAUGAUCUCUUGGUGAAAAUUCCAGAAAUAUGCAUCACUUCCUAAUUAAAGUAGGGAAUUUUUAAAAAUUAUUAAACCACAUGCUUUCUAAUUCCUAUUGCCCUUUCUUUUCACCCACCAUUCAGCAGUCAGCAGACACUUUCUGGGUACAACAGGGUAGGACCAUCCAGGCAGAACAAAAGCCAUUGAUCAUGAACUACAGAGGAGAGUUUGGUAAAUGGACACCAGAAACCAUGGCCUACAGGGGCCUGGUUUUCUCCCAUCUAAAUACUAACUAGGCCCAACGCUAGUUGGGCUUAGCUUCCUAGAUCAGAUGAAAUUGGGCACAUUUAGGGUUGGGGGUAUGGCUCUCUAUUGUAAGUAGCAAGAGUUUGAGAGAAGAAAAAAGGGAUUUUCUUUUUUUUUUCUUUUAAAUUUUAGAGCAUUAACUUUAAACAUCAAGAUCCAAACCCCAAGGAUUCAGAGAAUCUUGUACUAUAAACCAUUUGUAUUAGUCAGGGUUCUCCAGAGAAACAGAACCCAUAGGAGGUAUAGAGAUAGAGAAAUAUGGAAUUGGCUCCCAUGAUUAUGGAGGCUGAGAAGUCCCUCAAUCUGCUGUCUGUGAGCUGGAGACCUAGGAAAGCUUAGCUGGUGGUACAAACCAGCCCAAGUGCAAAGGCCCAAGAACUAAGAGCACCAUUGUCAGAGAGCAGGAAAAGACAGAUGUCCCAGCUCAAAAAGAGAGAGCAAAUUCACCUUCCUUCCACCAUUUUAUUCCGUCCUGUUCCAUUCCUCAACAGGUUGGAUGAUGAGGGAGAUCUUUAUCCAUCUCAAGUUUUUUGUGCAAAUAUGGAAUACAAAUGAAAAAUACUUAAAGCACAUCAUCAUUGAUUUCCAACUUAGACUAGUUUAACUUCCCUUUUUCUUCUAUCCUGUCAGUUCCUUGAGGGAUCCUCUCUCCUUGUUCAUCUCUGCAUCUCUAGUAAUUAGCACAGUGCCAGGCACAUGGUAAUAUGGCUAAAACAGUGGAUUAUUGGUCUCCAACAUAAUUAAGCCCAUCCAAAAGAAAAACCAACCUCAUAAAUCUGCUUUGCAAAGUUCAUAAACAAUGGAUAUGCUAUGUCUCAAAGGUGCUGGCCAAAAAAAUUUAAGAACUUGGGAAUUAUGUGUUAUUUUGUUUGUUUUUUUCACCAAGCCUACUUUUCUGUCACAAGAGCCCAUAUCAACAACACACCCAUGUAUGUCCUUCUUUUUAUCUACUUUUCUCCAUGAAGUUUGUCACCAUCAACUGUUAAAACUGUAAAGAUUUGAUCAGCUAAAUAAGUGGUCUUUGAACUAAUUCCUCUCGUACUUCCUAAAGGAACUUUGAAAAACUAUGUAUCCCCUUGCACAUUUUCAAGCAGACACCUAAGAUUUUUCAUCAUAAAUUUGAAUAACUUCAAAAUAUGUACUUAUUAGCAUAUUGUAAAUAUUGAUUUUUAAAUAAAAUAUAUCACACUUUGUAUCCAAUGAA